AAACUUUCAACAACGGAUCUCUUGGUUCUGGCAUCGAUGAAGAACGCAGCGAAAUGCGAUAAGUAGUGUGAAUUGCAGAAUUCAGUGAAUCAUCGAAUCUUUGAACGCACAUUGCGCCCUUUGGUAUUCCUUAGGGCAUGUCUGUUCGAGCGUCAUUUGAACCUUCAAGCUUAGCUUGGUGUUGGGCGUCAUUG
RNAcentral lists this ribosomal RNA (194 nucleotides) under Pseudocercospora eumusae. RNAcentral's name for it is "5.8S ribosomal RNA". The stretch from base 2 to 155 matches the Rfam family "5.8S ribosomal RNA". From Rfam's summary of the family: 5.8S ribosomal RNA (5.8S rRNA) is a component of the large subunit of the eukaryotic ribosome. It is transcribed by RNA polymerase I as part of the 45S precursor that also contains 18S and 28S rRNA. Lineage: Eukaryota; Fungi; Ascomycota; Dothideomycetes; Mycosphaerellales; Mycosphaerellaceae. The record is from RNAcentral.